This 729-nucleotide long non-coding RNA is filed under the name Sus scrofa (pig). Its description in RNAcentral is "lncRNA (ENSSSCG00025008709.1)". The record is from RNAcentral. Lineage: Eukaryota; Metazoa; Chordata; Mammalia; Artiodactyla; Suidae.
CUGAGCAAAAGUAUCUUUGGUGACCAGAGAAGGUAGGAAACCAUCUGUGGCCUUUCUUGAGCUCCCUUUUGCUUCCAGGUCUCCCAGGGGCAGGUNAUCAAAAUUCUGCCCUAAUCCACUGUCUACAUUCUUGUCUACGUGUUAAAAAAGCUCCAGGCCGAUUGCCUCAUCUAUGCGUCUUGCUCCCUCCCACGCCUGGUCCAGUCAUCAUUGUCUCCAUGAACAACCCCACCUGGGCUUCCUGCCAGAAAAUGUUUUUCAAGUUUCGCUUGAAUUUCUACAUGACAUACUUCUGAACAUGGGACCUGAGGUCAGGUGCCACCCCCAAUUCCAGAAGCCUUGCCAAGCCAGUGCCAAGUUCCCCAACGCUCAGGCCAAUCCGGGCCCUGUUUGCUCUGCGAUAGGAGCGCCUGUGAUGCUUCGCACUUGGCAACCUCUGACGAGGACAGAAGGCAGAUUUAAAGGCCAGAAGAUUGAUUUUUCUGUGGAGGGCUUUCCGUGUGGGGCGUGGGAGAGAAUCUCUUGGGGAAACAGUGGUCAGUGAGGCUCGCUUCGCCAUAUGCUCUUCAUUCAUGUGUGAGGCUGAACAAACUCUUUGUCCUGACAAGCCAAUCCCAGACCACAGAGGUGGAGCAAUUUAUCCUGGAGGCCCUAAGGCAACGGGACUUGGAGGUGGGGGCUGUCAUAGCUGUUCCUCCCACUCACAUUUCCAUCCAAAACUUGCAGGGG